RNAcentral lists this ribosomal RNA (270 nucleotides) under uncultured archaeon. RNAcentral's name for it is "partial 16S ribosomal RNA". It matches the Rfam family "Archaeal small subunit ribosomal RNA", at positions 477 to 747 of the family's 1478-position model. The record is from RNAcentral.
CUGCAGCUCAAGUGGUGAUCGCUAUUAUUGGGCCUAAAACGUCCGUAGCCGGUUUAGUAAAUGCCUGGGUAAAUUGUGUAGCUUAACUAUACGACUUCCGGGUAGACUGCUAAGCUUGGGACCGGGAGAGGCUAGAGGUACUCCUGGGGUAGAGGUGAAAUUCUGUAAUCCUGGGGGGACCACCAGUGGCGAAGGCGUCUAGCCAGAACGGGUCUGACGGUGAGGGACGAAGCCCAGGGGAGCGAACCGGAUUAGAUACCCGAGCAGUCC